Molecule: transfer RNA, 73 nt
Filed under: Diaphorina citri (Asian citrus psyllid)
Lineage: Eukaryota; Metazoa; Arthropoda; Insecta; Hemiptera; Psyllidae
Rfam family: tRNA
About the family: Transfer RNA (tRNA) molecules are approximately 80 nucleotides in length.
Source: Rfam by way of RNAcentral
GCCUGGUUAGUUUGGUUGGUAGUGCGUCCGGCUUGUAAGCGCUAGGCCGCGGGUUCGAUUCCCGCACAAGGAA